This 255-nucleotide ribosomal RNA is filed under the name uncultured bacterium. RNAcentral's name for it is "partial 16S ribosomal RNA". It matches the Rfam family "Bacterial small subunit ribosomal RNA", at positions 524 to 776 of the family's 1533-position model. The record is from RNAcentral.
UACGGAGGGGGCUAGCGUUGUUCGGAAUUACUGGGCGUAAAGCGCACGUAGGCGGCUUUGUAAGUUAGAGGUGAAAGCCCGGGGCUCAACUCCGGAAUUGCCUUUAAGACUGCAUCGCUAGAAUUGUGGAGAGGUAAGUGGAAUUCCGAGUGUAGAGGUGAAAUUCGUAGAUAUUCGGAAGAACACCAGUGGCGAAGGCGACUUACCGGACACAUAUUGACGCUGAGGUGGCGAAAAGCGUGGGGAGCAAACAGG